GUCGAGCUAAGUAACGAGAGCUUGUGACCCGAGUGGGGACAUCAAGGUGGUGGAACAGUGGUUCGAGUCCACGGGGUCGGAUCUGGUGUUGGCAAGUUUCUGAGCUGCCCAGUCCAAGCUGUGAGUAAUCCGUGUGGGUCGAGCGAAGGCUUGGCUUCGGCGGAUUCUAUAGUCGGAGGGUAAUGCGUGAGGCUGGUUUCACAGAGCAGCGACUACUUCCCGCUUACAGCAGUGGACGGACCACAGUUCGGCGUCGCCCAGAUCCACUAUGGCCUGCUGGUUCGUUCUCACCUGAACCACCAUUUUU
This 307-nucleotide signal recognition particle RNA is filed under the name Arabidopsis lyrata subsp. lyrata. Its description in RNAcentral is "SRP RNA Plant_SRP". It matches the Rfam family "Plant signal recognition particle RNA". The record is from Rfam by way of RNAcentral. Lineage: Eukaryota; Viridiplantae; Streptophyta; Magnoliopsida; Brassicales; Brassicaceae.